Molecule: ribosomal RNA, 733 nt
Filed under: Arthrobacter globiformis
Lineage: Bacteria; Bacillati; Actinomycetota; Actinomycetes; Micrococcales; Micrococcaceae
Description: bacterial SSU rRNA
Rfam family: Bacterial small subunit ribosomal RNA
Source: RNAcentral
GCGUAAGAGCUCGUAGGCGGUUUGUCGCGUCUGCCGUGAAAGUCCGGGGCUCAACUCCGGAUCUGCGGUGGGUACGGGCAGACUAGAGUGAUGUAGGGGAGACUGGAAUUCCUGGUGUAGCGGUGAAAUGCGCAGAUAUCAGGAGGAACACCGAUGGCGAAGGCAGGUCUCUGGGCAUUAACUGACGCUGAGGAGCGAAAGCAUGGGGAGCGAACAGGAUUAGAUACCCUGGUAGUCCAUGCCGUAAACGUUGGGCACUAGGUGUGGGGGACAUUCCACGUUUUCCGCGCCGUAGCUAACGCAUUAAGUGCCCCGCCUGGGGAGUACGGCCGCAAGGCUAAAACUCAAAGGAAUUGACGGGGGCCCGCACAAGCGGCGGAGCAUGCGGAUUAAUUCGAUGCAACGCGAAGAACCUUACCAAGGCUUGACAUGGACCGGACCGCCGCAGAAAUGUGGUUUCCCCUUUGGGGCUGGUUUACAGGUGGUGCAUGGUUGUCGUCAGCUCGUGUCGUGAGAUGUUGGGUUAAGUCCCGCAACGAGCGCAACCCUCGUUCUAUGUUGCCAGCACGUGAUGGUGGGGACUCAUAGGAGACUGCCGGGGUCAACUCGGAGGAAGGUGGGGACGACGUCAAAUCAUCAUGCCCCUUAUGUCUUGGGCUUCACGCAUGCUACAAUGGCCGGUACAAAGGGUCGCGAUACUGUGAGGUGGAGCUAAUCCCAAAAAGCCGGUCUC